GUCUACAGUGGCAUUUGGUUAGCGAGCGGUACUUAUAAUGGCGAGGCUGUGAGUUCGAUCCUCACCUGGGAAA
Caerostris extrusa is the source of this 73-nucleotide non-coding RNA. The record is from the annotation of a GenBank genome assembly. NCBI's taxonomy places the organism in Eukaryota, Metazoa, Arthropoda, Arachnida, Araneae, Araneidae.